UACGUAGGUGGCAAGCGUUGUCCGGAGUUACUGGGCGUAAAGCGAACGCAGGCGGACUGUUAAGUAGAAAGUGAAAGGUCGGAGCUCAACUCCAACAUUGCUUUCUAUACUGGCAGUCUUGAGUAGCGGAGAGGAAGGGGGAACGACACGUGUAGCGGUGAAAUGCGUUGAUAUGUGUCGGAACACCCAUGGCGAAAGCACCCUUCUGGACGCAAACUGACGCUCAGGUUCGAAAGCCAAGGUAGCGAACAGG
This 253-nucleotide ribosomal RNA is filed under the name uncultured bacterium. RNAcentral describes it as "partial 16S ribosomal RNA". It matches the Rfam family "Bacterial small subunit ribosomal RNA", at positions 524 to 776 of the family's 1533-position model. The record is from RNAcentral.